This is a long non-coding RNA of Protopterus annectens (West African lungfish), 499 nucleotides long. RefSeq lists it as uncharacterized. The record is from RefSeq and is a predicted model, not a curated record. The transcript is spliced from 3 exons. NCBI's taxonomy places the organism in Eukaryota, Metazoa, Chordata, Ceratodontiformes, Protopteridae.
ACCACAGGACGAAGAUCAUGAGCUUGGUUUCCAGGGAGGUCGAGUUUUGUUUACUAUACAAUUCUUCACAUCAAGCUACGAGGCUGUAUCUGAUAGGGACAAUGAAUUCCAGCACUGGGUUUGUUUGGUGGUUAUAAAUGUUUUAGCAGUAAAAAAAAUGUUUUGAGUGAAUUAUUCAAGCUCAUUGGAAAAUUAAUAAUUAGUAUAGUGUGAAGUUUCACUGCAGUAGCACAUUGCUGAAGUGACUGAAGCCACUGAGUUCCACUUUGAGCACCUCUGAAUAUGCAAGGCCUGUGGAGAAGGAACAAUCUAAGCAUCCACAUUUUGGCUUAGAAGAUUAAGAAGCUGUUAAGGAGUAGUUUCCUGUUGUCCAAUGCCGCAAGGCUCGAUUCCCUCAGCCUCCAUUGGCUGUUUAACUCUAAGCAAGUUACUUAACCAGACACUGCUUCCAGGCUGAGUAUGAGAAACAUCCAUGGAGAUCAUCACUCUACCCCAGAAA